This 201-nucleotide unclassified non-coding RNA is filed under the name uncultured Pyronemataceae. Its description in RNAcentral is "sequence contains ITS1". The record is from RNAcentral. Lineage: Eukaryota; Fungi; Ascomycota; Pezizomycetes; Pezizales; Pyronemataceae.
AAAAAGUUUGGAUAUGAACUCUCAUUCCAAGUUUCCACUCAGCGUAUCUGUCCACUGUAAGCUUCCGUUGGGCGUGGGUCUUCGGAUCCCCUCCUAUCGAGCCCACUCAGGGCGCGAUUGGGAGCGUCCCGACGGGAGCCAAUAGCAAACUCAAUCUAUUUAGUUGUAUGUAUUGUCUGACAUGUUGCAAAGCAAUAUUUA